ACGCCUACCUCAGCAGCCUAGACACUAACAUCGCAACAGUACAGAGAAGAUUGGCAGGGCCCCUGCACAAGAUGACACGCAAAUUUAUGAAGCGUUCCAUAUUUAA
Mastomys coucha (southern multimammate mouse) is the source of this 106-nucleotide small nuclear RNA. The record is from RefSeq and is a predicted model, not a curated record. NCBI's taxonomy places the organism in Eukaryota, Metazoa, Chordata, Mammalia, Rodentia, Muridae.